RNAcentral lists this long non-coding RNA (441 nucleotides) under Ananas comosus (pineapple). RNAcentral's name for it is "long non-coding RNA (ACOM_LNC033497)". The record is from RNAcentral. Lineage: Eukaryota; Viridiplantae; Streptophyta; Magnoliopsida; Poales; Bromeliaceae.
GUGGGCCAAUCAACUAUGACAUAUAGUCCUUCUAUCACGAGUCCCGACUAGACGGAGGUCAUGAAAUAACUCGUCAAACCGUAUCGUCUGUCAUAUGUUAAAUUUAUUCGACUCGAGUUUCUAAUAUCAAAAACCCCUUUCCGCUAUUAACUAUAUCAUGGCUAAAUUCUUCUAAACUCGGUCUCAUAAAUCAUAUAGGACUAACGCCCCUAUCUACCAAGGGAGAUAGAUUCUAUAUAAGUGCACACUCUAUUCCUAUUAUAAACCUAUUGCAGCCAACAUACACCACAAGGACCUGAAUGGCUAGGGACCAAGUGUAUGUACAGUCAAACUAUAGUAACCUCAUUGUGAAUAACCGAGACACCGCAGAUCAAAGGACUAGUCAAGCUACUGCAACAUUGAGUAAGUCACUGACGAAUAAGUAGACAUCUAAGUGACUUC